Athene cunicularia (burrowing owl) is the source of this 606-nucleotide long non-coding RNA. RefSeq lists it as uncharacterized. The transcript is spliced from 3 exons. Lineage: Eukaryota; Metazoa; Chordata; Aves; Strigiformes; Strigidae. The record is from RefSeq and is a predicted model, not a curated record.
UGCUUUGGGUCUUAGUGUCUGAACUCUGCACACAGAAACUCGCAAGUUUGAGGAAAACUUGUGUGUUUCAGGGUUAUGUCACAGACAGUCCUUCAUACACAGAGUUACCUGGAUUUGAAACGUACCUGACAGCUUUCAGCACGGGUUUUGCAGGUGUCAGUGUAACUCCUCUGCAUGUGGGAGAUGGAAUAGCAGGUUCUGCCUUGUGCAAUAUAAUCAGUUUGAACGAUUCAGGGUCGAGCUUUGAUCUUUUUUGCAGGCACGUGUUGCCUCUUGUGGGGAUCACUAGCAGAUGAGACAGAUGUGCACUCACCGGUAGUCAUAAUUCCUCGUUGUCCUGCCUUUUAUGGGAUGGCAGAGGGAGUCUGUGGAGCUUUUUUUUUUUUCCCAUAUGCUUCCACUUCCUUGUACAAAGUAUUGCCAGAGGGCUUGAGACAGGUGCUGGAUUCUUGCUGUCAUUUGGAUCAGGCAGAUGGAUUCAGCAGUUGAAGCCUCCUCUUGGCCACAUCUAUUGUUGGAGAUGAUCAGGGCUGAGCCUGCAGCAGUCUAGCCCAUCUGCCUGCUAUUUCUCACUAAAGUUGUGCAGCGUUUCUCAGGUAUGUUUCU